RNAcentral lists this transfer RNA (82 nucleotides) under Podarcis lilfordi (Lilford's wall lizard). RNAcentral describes it as "tRNA.Ile". Lineage: Eukaryota; Metazoa; Chordata; Lepidosauria; Squamata; Lacertidae. The record is from RNAcentral.
GCAGCGGGAUAGCUCAGUUGGUUGUAGCGUGGUGCUGAUAACACCAAGGUUCCAGGUUCGAUUCCCAUAUGAGACAGCUGCA